RNAcentral lists this small RNA (1431 nucleotides) under Pongo abelii (Sumatran orangutan). Its description in RNAcentral is "processed transcript". The record is from RNAcentral. Lineage: Eukaryota; Metazoa; Chordata; Mammalia; Primates; Hominidae.
UGAUUACCCACCCGUCAGGGCGCCGCUGAAGGUCACUGAAUACUUACUGUGCACCCGAAAAAUAAAUCCUGCGAGUUCACGCCCGCGUAGCUCGCCCCCUGAUUUUGAGCGACUCCUUUCGCAUGGGAUCUACAAAACCGAACUGCCUUAAAGACUUCUUUCACACGGACGUGAAGUCACAGAACUGACAAAAUCCCAUCCUGUCAAAGUGCACGGGUCUUUGAAAUCUAACACAAAAAGCCAUAGAAAGAUUCUCUAAACACCCUGUACUAUGAGGAACACGGACAGGGCACUGCGUUCUGAAGUAGAGGCCAGGGCACUGGCCCUUAGACACGUCUCGCUGUCACCGGGCUAACAACAUUGGCAAGGGCGACGGCAGCAGCACUGAUAUUUGCAGCCCCCAAGGGCCCUGGCGAAACCCCCUCUAUUACUCUGUAUCCUGCUUGUUUCCAAGAUGAACCUGUUGCUGGGAAAGAACAGGCUAAAUUAGAAAAGGGAGCAUUUUGUCAAAGUUGAAGAAACCUCUGUAGAGAAGCAGGAUGCAACCGACAGGCUGUGGCCGGACAGCUGCUGCCCAGCACAUGGAGCCGCACGAGCACGAUUUGGCCAAAGAAGCCCCCAUACUCCCGGUGAAAAAGAUUUCCAGAAGCUGUUCUGUCAAUAACAAAGUCUCAAAACCACAAAACCACCAACACUAAGAUCAUUCUUGAGUCCAAUUUGAAAAACUAGGGUCAAGUUCUGCAGAGGCAUUGAAAGGACAAGAUACCACCCUAAUACCCAUCGUGUGAGGGAAAAUGCUCUAUUCACUAUUCCUCAGCUUCUGCUUCUGGUUUCAGAGUUCUCGCUAUAUUGGAGGGUGUUUUAAAGCUAGAGUGGUCUUUAUCCACUUUUAUUAACACAUCUGAAUGUGAAGGUCAAGAGAGGAAAGUGAUAUGUCCUAAGUCAGAGUAGAGUCAACAAGAAAAUAAGACAAACAGCGACUGAGCCCCUGAUGUAUACUGGGCAUUGGCGAGCUACUGGGGAUAUGGAGAUGAAGAAAACGUAAUCCCUUCUUCAAGGAGCCCAACCUACCAAGGUAGACAGACAUAUAGACAAAUAGAUACUUGCAUAGAAAAAAAGAGGAAAAGGGGAUCAGUGUGACCUGUGUAACUAAGUACCUUAUACAACCCUCCUGCAACAGAUCAUAUUGCCCUUUAUAGUAGGGAUGGUAAUCCCAUCUCUGAAUUCCACAUGUGCUUUGCAGUCAUACCACACCCAUGUGUCUGUUGGUCCUGACUGUACCAUUUAUAAACAGCUUCACUUUCAGCAGUUCUCAGCCCUCUUAAGCUAGGGUCAUUGUCAGUAGGGAUACUGCUUCACAAGCGUCAGCAGAACACCAAAGGAGACCGUAUGGGUGAAAGCAACCAACACUGCCCUGGCACUUCAUAGGUU